RNAcentral lists this ribosomal RNA (357 nucleotides) under uncultured bacterium. RNAcentral's name for it is "bacterial SSU rRNA". It matches the Rfam family "Bacterial small subunit ribosomal RNA", at positions 72 to 422 of the family's 1533-position model. The record is from RNAcentral.
AACCCUCUUCGGAGGGGAGUACAGCGGCGAACGGGUGAGUAACACGUGGGCAACCUGCCCCAAGGAGCGGGACAACCCGGGGAAACCCGGGCUAAUACCGCAUGAUCCGCGAUGCCUCAAGGCAUCUCGGGAAAUGGUAGCUUCGGCCUCCGCCUUGGGAUGGGCCCGCGGCGCAUUAGCUUGUUGGUGAGGUAACGGCCCACCAAGGCGACGAUGCGUAGCUGGUCUGAGAGGACGAUCAGCCACACUGGGACUGAGACACGGCCCAGACUCCUACGGGAGGCAGCAGUGGGGAAUCUUGCGCAAUGGGCGGAAGCCUGACGCAGCAACGCCGCGUGAGGGAAGACGGCCUUCGGG